UACGUAGGGAGCAAGCGUUGUUCGGAUUUACUGGGCGUAAAGGGCGCGUAGGCGGCAAAUUAAGUCAGCUGUGAAAUCUCCGAGCUUAACUCGGAACUGUCAGCUGAUACUGAUCUGCUAGAGUGCGGAAGGGGCAAUCGGAAUUCCCGGUGUAGCGGUGAAAUGCGCAGAUAUCGGGAAGAACACCCGUGGCGAAGGCGGCUCUCUGGGACGGUACUGACGCUGAGACGCGAAAGCGUGGGGAGCGAACAGG
Molecule: ribosomal RNA, 253 nt
Filed under: uncultured bacterium
Lineage: Bacteria
Description: partial 16S ribosomal RNA
Rfam family: Bacterial small subunit ribosomal RNA
Source: RNAcentral